AGAUGUGAAGGAGAUCUGGCUUUGACUCACACCAUCCUGUUGAUCAGUGAUCUUACUGGCUAGGAAGGUGAUCCUUGUUUUUUCAUCUCUCCAAAUGCAUCUCUCCUAGUGCUGCUCAUGCUCCAGACAGAAGAGAGGGCUUUGUUCAAAAAUAUAUGAGAAAUUUCAUUUCUCUAGCAGAGGCUCCAAAACCAAACCAAAACAAACUUUUUGAAGGUAAUUAAAUCAACAGAGUAGACCAGAAGAUCU
RNAcentral lists this small nuclear RNA (249 nucleotides) under Canis lupus familiaris (dog). RNAcentral describes it as "7SK RNA". It matches the Rfam family "7SK RNA". Rfam says of the family: 7SK was discovered as an abundant small nuclear RNA in the mid-70s but a possible function has only recently been suggested. Two independent studies have found that 7SK RNA binds the CDK9/cyclin T complex (known as elongation factor P-TEFb). The record is from Rfam by way of RNAcentral. Lineage: Eukaryota; Metazoa; Chordata; Mammalia; Carnivora; Canidae. RNAcentral also lists the same sequence under 1 other name.